AUACCAAUGUAUUCUUGUAAUAUGAAUUUUUUUCUGAAAAAAUUCAUAUUACAAGAAUACAUUGGUAU
Paramuricea clavata is the source of this 68-nucleotide non-coding RNA. The record is from the annotation of a GenBank genome assembly. Lineage: Eukaryota; Metazoa; Cnidaria; Anthozoa; Malacalcyonacea; Plexauridae.